UACAGAGGGUGCAAGCGUUAAUCGGAAUUACUGGGCGUAAAGCGUGCGUAGACGGUUAUGUAAGUCAGGUGUGAAAGCCCCGGGCUCAACCUGGGAAUGGCAUUUGAGACUGCAUAGCUAGAGUGGCAGAGAGGAAAGCGGAAUUCCCGGUGUAGUGGUGAAAUGCGUAGAUAUCGGGAGGAACACCAGAGGCGAAGGCGGCUUUCUGGCUGCUAACUGACGCUGAGGCGCGAAGGCUGGGGUAGCGAACAGG
This 253-nucleotide ribosomal RNA is filed under the name uncultured bacterium. Its description in RNAcentral is "partial 16S ribosomal RNA". It matches the Rfam family "Bacterial small subunit ribosomal RNA", at positions 524 to 776 of the family's 1533-position model. The record is from RNAcentral.